Tachysurus fulvidraco (yellow catfish) is the source of this 2377-nucleotide long non-coding RNA. RefSeq lists it as uncharacterized. The transcript is spliced from 3 exons. The record is from RefSeq and is a predicted model, not a curated record. Lineage: Eukaryota; Metazoa; Chordata; Actinopteri; Siluriformes; Bagridae.
CAUGCAAACUCCACACACACAAGGCGGAGACAGGAAUCGAACCCCGACCCUGGAGGAAACCUCUCGGUGUAAUUGCACAGCCCCGUCAUUGUCAUGCUAUUGAUAGAGGUAUGAAUCAAAACCUGAAAAAAAAGUAUCCAAGAGGUUGUUAUUGGUUCUGCCAAGGAAGACUUUAUGGAGGCUUACAUCAAAAAAAAUUCUAGGAUAAAAGACUUUUUACUGACAAUUACUGUUCUUGUUUUGCAUAGUGAAGAUUCAAUAGCAGGAAAAAUAGCAAAAAAAUGUUAAGUAAAUUCUUGUCUCAAGCAAUUCUGCCAGAUGUAAGAGUGAUAACUAAAUGAUUAGCAAGCAUAGACAAUUUGUUUGUAUACUUGCUUGUUAUGUCUCUGUGUAUAAACUGUAUACAAUUGGAUAACUUUAGAAUGUUGUCUUCAUGAUUUGAAUUUUCUCCACAUGUAUUCCUGCAAUUAAGCAAAACUCAACCACCCUGAUCAUGUUUUGUUGGUUUAAAUUUCUUAGAUUUUGUGACUGUUUUGUUUCCAUGCUCUGUUCUUUCUGCAGUGCCUAUUAGUGUAAAGUUGAAUUUGUGUGUGCAGCUGCAAACAAUUUCUGUCCUAUCCUAGCACAUAGACUCGAGCAUAUAACUGUGUGCAUUCAUCUGUAUUUGCAGACGUCUUUCAACACUUUCACUGGCCAAUGGAAUACCAGCUACACUUGAGGCCCUCUCCAGACUAGGUGUUAUUUAGUGCACAUAUGGCCUUGAUUCUUAACUAAAUUCAUGUACAGCAUAUACAUAUACCAUUAAAAGCCUGGAGUGUACGAGUUAUUCUUUUACCAGGGAAAGGAUAGAAAGACGUUUGCACAUACACAUGAAUGAGCAAAUGUAUAUGCUCAGGUAUACGGAAUGCAUGUAGAAGAUCCUUGACAAAGAUCCGGCUACAUCUAUCCAAACACGUACAAUUAAUUGGAUUCUCGAACAAUGAAGGAAAUAAAGAAAAACCCUUAACACUGAUCAAUGUAAGUGGCAAAUGUCGAUACUAAUUUAUGUGACUUUUUAUCAUUAGCCAGUACAAGAAUGUUGCUUACUUUAUUGAAUAUAAAACAGUUUUUAUAUAUAAGACCUAUCAAAAUAUCAGAAAUAUCAAAUGAAUAUAUCUAUUAGCAGAACAUGGAGUUAUUAAAAUAACAAGUUAAUGUUAUACAUGUUAUAGCAUUAUAUGCUGCUUCUAUGCCAGUUUUAUUUGAAGAGUACAUUAGGAUUUUAAAACACAUUCAUAACCAUGUAUGGGCCCCAAUGUUUCUUAUUGAAGAAAUAAGCAUUAAUUAGUAUUAGUAAUUACUAAUCAGUAUUACCCUCCUGGCAAACCUAUGAGAUAACAAACAUUUUUAUAACCUACACUGCUUUGUCAUUAAAUGAAACCGAAAGAGACUGCUGUAUCUGUAAAUAUGCUUUAAAUCUUAUCUUGGAAAUUAAUGUUUCAUUUUUACUGUUACCUGUUACUACAUUCAUGAAGUAUUUAUUUCUUGAUGUUCUUUUGAAAUGGUUGCUCUUCGAAUCAGUCCAUUUUGACAAAAGGGUAAGACAUGCUUCUAUAGAAUUGAAUAGAAAGAUAUUUUCUUCACCUAAACAAUAUUCAAAACUUUGCAGGUUUCAAUAAUGUAUCAUACAAUAAUGUAUCAUAAUGUUUCAGUAAUGACAAGCUUAGAAAAGUUGUAUUUUGAAUUCACAUUCAAAAUACUGUACCAAAUAGAUCUAAAAUCAGCCUAUAUUCAAAAAAAUUUGCUAGUGAAGAGGUACUGUAUGUGUUCAAUAUACAGUAUGAGCUAAAAAAAAAAUCCACAUUAGUUUUCUUGGUCUUAAGGCAUUGGCCACGUGCUUCUUAAGGCAUGAGUAAGUAUUUUGUCUUUGCAUCAACUUAAAGAUAUGGCUUAAUCAAUGACAGGUUUAGCAACAACUGAUUUGUGGUCAUUAUGUCUUUUACACAGCGACUUUGAUUUGGUCCUUCUCUAAAGCAGUCUUUGGCAGAGCAGGGUUGGGCAAUUGAAUUAAUCUCACUCUGUGAAAGUGAGUAACACCUUGGAGCUUUUCUAUUCAAUAAAAGCCCUUUCAUUUACUCAUCAUGCUCUCUUUAUCAUUCAUUCUUCAGUUAACCUUUUUUAUUUUCUCACUUAAACUGAAGGAGGAGGAAUGACUGAAGGAAUGUUGAAGAGGGUAGCAAAAAGCGUGCCUUCAUCAUGAAUUAGUUUGAAAACAUGUUGAAUUUUCUUAAUUAUACCUGUAUAGCAGUAUUACUGAAAUCCAAAGAAAUAAUGCUGUGCAUUUUAAGCAUAUAUGUCCAUAUAUUGUUGCACUGCCUUAUACAUUUAUUCCAAGAUC